UACAGGGGGUGCAAACGUUGCUCGGAAUCACUGGGCGUAAAGCGCACGUAGGCGGAUUGUUAAGUCAGGGGUGAAAUCCUGGAGCUCAACUCCAGAACUGCCUUUGAUACUGACGGUCUUGAGUUCGGGAGAGGUGAGUGGAACUGCGAGUGUAGAGGUGAAAUUCGUAGAUAUUCGCAAGAACACCAGUGGCGAAGGCGGCUCACUGGCCCGAUACUGACGCUGAGGUGCGAAAGCGUGGGGAGCAAACAGG
This 253-nucleotide ribosomal RNA is filed under the name uncultured bacterium. RNAcentral describes it as "partial 16S ribosomal RNA". It matches the Rfam family "Bacterial small subunit ribosomal RNA", at positions 524 to 776 of the family's 1533-position model. The record is from RNAcentral.